This 253-nucleotide ribosomal RNA is filed under the name uncultured bacterium. Its description in RNAcentral is "partial 16S ribosomal RNA". It matches the Rfam family "Bacterial small subunit ribosomal RNA", at positions 524 to 776 of the family's 1533-position model. The record is from RNAcentral.
GACAGAGGGCCCGAGCGUUAAUCGGAAUCACUGGGCUUAAAGGGUGCGUAGGCGGAGCUGUAAGUGUUCUGUGAAAUCCCACGGCUCAACCGUGGAACGGCAGGGCAUACUGCAGUUCUUGAGGCCAGUAGAGGUUGCCGGAACUCUAGGUGUAGCGGUGAAAUGCGUAGAUAUCUAGAGGAACGCCAAUGGUGAAGACAGGCAACUGGGCUGGUUCUGACGCUGAGGCACGAAAGCGUGGGGAGCAAACAGG